Gossypium raimondii (Peruvian cotton) is the source of this 107-nucleotide non-coding RNA. Lineage: Eukaryota; Viridiplantae; Streptophyta; Magnoliopsida; Malvales; Malvaceae. The record is from Rfam.
AUCCCAUAAUGAGGACACUUACGAAGUAAAUCCUUGAAUCAUUCUCACACCUCGUACAAGGAUUCAUCAUCCAAUUGUGAAAAUUUGGUUAUCUCGUUUCGUAACUU